Molecule: ribosomal RNA, 400 nt
Filed under: uncultured bacterium
Lineage: Bacteria
Description: partial 16S ribosomal RNA
Rfam family: Bacterial small subunit ribosomal RNA
Source: RNAcentral
AAUAUUGCACAAUGGGCGAAAGCCUGAUGCAGCAACGCCGCGUGAGCGAUGAAGGCCUUCGGGUCGUAAAGCUCUGUCCUAAGGGAAGAACAAAUGACGGUACCUUAGGAGGAAGCCCCGGCUAACUACGUGCCAGCAGCCGCGGUAAUACGUAGGGGGCAAGCGUUAUCCGGAAUCAUUGGGCGUAAAGGGUGCGUAGGCGGCCCUAUAGGUCAGAGGUCAAAGGCUGCGGCUCAACCGUAGUAAGCCUUUGAAACUGUAGGGCUUGAGUGCAGGAGAGGAGAGUGGAAUUCCUAGUGUAGCGGUGAAAUGCGUAGAUAUUAGGAGGAACACCAGUGGCGAAGGCGACUCUCUGGACUGCAACUGACGCUGAGGCACGAAAGCGUGGGGAGCGAACAGG